UGGGGAAUAUUGGACAAUGGGGGCAACCCUGAUCCAGCCAUGCCGCGUGUGUGAAGAAGGCCUUUUGGUUGUAAAUCACUUUAAGCAGGGAGGAGAGGCUAAUGGUUAAUACCCAUUAGAUUAGACGUUACCUGCAGAAUAAGCACCGGCUAACUCUGUGCCAGCAGCCGCGGUAAUACAGAGGGUGCGAGCGUUAAUCGGAAUUACUGGGCGUAAAGCGAGUGUAGGUGGCUCAUUAAGUCACAUGUGAAAUCCCCGGGCUUAACCUGGGAACUGCAUGUGAUACUGGUGGUGCUAGAAUAUGUGAGAGGGAAGUAGAAUUCCAGGUGUAGCGGUGAAAUGCGUAGAGAUCUGGAGGAAUACCGAUGGCGAAGGCAGCUUCCUGGCAUAAUAUUGACACUGAGAUUCGAAAGCGUGGGUAGCAAACAGG
This 430-nucleotide ribosomal RNA is filed under the name Bacillota bacterium. RNAcentral describes it as "Firmicutes bacterium partial 16S ribosomal RNA". It matches the Rfam family "Bacterial small subunit ribosomal RNA", at positions 355 to 776 of the family's 1533-position model. Lineage: Bacteria; Bacillati; Bacillota. The record is from RNAcentral.